GUAUUAUUAAGAGUGCAAUGAAAAUUGUAACAAUACAGAAAAGAUUAGCAUGGCCCCUGUACAAGAAGGACAUGCAAAUUUGUGAAGUGCUCCAUAUUUGU
This is a small nuclear RNA of Callithrix jacchus (white-tufted-ear marmoset), 101 nucleotides long. The record is from Ensembl. NCBI's taxonomy places the organism in Eukaryota, Metazoa, Chordata, Mammalia, Primates, Cebidae.